AACGCGAAGAACCUUACCAAAUCUAGACAUCCCGAUGACAGACUGUGUAAAGCAGUUUCUCUUCGGAGCAUCGGUGACAGGUGGUGCAUGGUUGUCGUCAGCUCGUGUCGUGAGAUGUUGGGUUAAGUCCCGCAACGAGCGCAACCCUUGUCUUUAGUAGCCAGCAUUUAGGAUGGGCACUCUAGAGAGACUGCCAGGGAUAACCUGGAGGAAGGUGGGGAUGGCGUCAAAUCAUCAUGCCCCUUAUGAUUUGGGCUACACACGUGCUACAAUGGCGUAAACAGAGAGAAGCAAAGGAGUGAUCCGGAGCAAAUCUCAAAAAUAACGUCUCAGUUCGGAUUGUAGUCUGCAACUCGACUACAUGAAGCUGGAAUCGCUAGUAAUCGCGAAUCAGAAUGUCGCGGUGAAUACGUUCCCGGGUCUUGUACACACGC
Molecule: ribosomal RNA, 434 nt
Filed under: uncultured Eubacterium sp.
Lineage: Bacteria; Bacillati; Bacillota; Clostridia; Eubacteriales; Eubacteriaceae
Description: bacterial SSU rRNA
Rfam family: Bacterial small subunit ribosomal RNA
Source: RNAcentral